RNAcentral lists this ribosomal RNA (208 nucleotides) under uncultured bacterium. Its description in RNAcentral is "partial 16S ribosomal RNA". It matches the Rfam family "Bacterial small subunit ribosomal RNA", at positions 568 to 774 of the family's 1533-position model. The record is from RNAcentral.
CUCGUAGGCGGUUCAGUAAGUUGGGUGUGAAAGCUCCGGGCUCAACCCGGAGAGGCCACCCAAUACUGCUGUGACUAGAGUCCAGUAGAGGAGCGUGGAACUCCUGGUGUAGCGGUGAAAUGCGCAGAUAUCAGGAAGAACACCAGCAGCGAAGGCGGCGCUCUGGGCUGGAACUGACGCUGAGGAGCGAAAGCAUGGGUAGCAAACA